CCCAGCGCUCAGUCAGCUGACCAGGUGAUGUGUCUGGCUCAGUGUUACAGUGCUGGUAGAGGAAGCCUCUGUUCUUGGUCUCGGCUCAGCAGGUUCUGUUUUAGAGUCUGCUGCAGUUGAGCUGUUGCAGAGCGCAGCCCAACGAGAGUGGCCUGUCCUGGGUCAACAGCAGGGCGGGCCUAGUGAAGGGCUGCACAUC
Small nucleolar RNA from Seriola lalandi dorsalis, 199 nucleotides. Its record names the gene SNORA74. It matches the Rfam family "Small nucleolar RNA SNORA74". From Rfam's summary of the family: U19 belongs to the H/ACA class of snoRNAs. snoRNAs bind a number of proteins (including dyskerin, Gar1p and Nop10p in the case of the H/ACA class) to form snoRNP complexes. This class are thought to guide the sites of modification of uridines to pseudouridines by forming direct base pairing interactions with substrate RNAs. Targets may include ribosomal and spliceosomal RNAs but the exact functions of many snoRNAs, including U19, are not confirmed. The record is from Ensembl. NCBI's taxonomy places the organism in Eukaryota, Metazoa, Chordata, Actinopteri, Carangiformes, Carangidae.